AUUGAACGCUGGCGGCAGGCCUAACACAUGCAAGUCGAGCGGAUGACGGGAGCUUGCUCCUUGAUUCAGCGGCGGACGGGUGAGUAAUGCCUAGGAAUCUGCCUGGUAGUGGGGGACAACGUUUCGAAAGGAACGCUAAUACCGCAUACGUCCUACGGGAGAAAGCAGGGGGCCUUCGGGCCUUGCGCUAUCAGAUGAGCCUAGGUCGGAUUAGCUAGUAGGUGAGGUAAUGGCUCACCCAGGCGACGAUCCGUAACUGGUCUGAGAGGAUGAUCAGUCACACUGGAACUGAGACACGGUCCAGACUCCUACGGGAGGCAGCAGUGGGGAAUAUUGGACAAUGGGCGAAAGCCUGAUCCAGCCAUGCCGCGUGUGUGAAGAAGGUCUUCGGAUUGUAAAGCACUUUAAGUUGGGAGGAAGGGUUGUACGUUAAUACCGUGCAAUUUUGACGUUACCGACAGAAUAAGCACCGGCUAACUCUGUGCCAGCCGCCGCCGUAA
Molecule: ribosomal RNA, 500 nt
Filed under: uncultured bacterium
Lineage: Bacteria
Description: partial 16S ribosomal RNA
Rfam family: Bacterial small subunit ribosomal RNA
Source: RNAcentral